This is a long non-coding RNA of Lotus japonicus, 439 nucleotides long. RefSeq lists it as uncharacterized. The record is from RefSeq and is a predicted model, not a curated record. NCBI's taxonomy places the organism in Eukaryota, Viridiplantae, Streptophyta, Magnoliopsida, Fabales, Fabaceae. The transcript has 3 exons.
UUGUGAAAAACAUGACCUGCAGAAAUAUGACCAGCCGAUGAAUAAUAGUAUAUCCAUCAAACAAAUCAUAUACCUCAGAAACAAGUAUCUAAUCUCAGAAGACAACACUCCCUUUCCAACCCAUCUCUAUUGAUCCUGAAGUUCAAUUCGUUGAAGAAAGCUCUUUUGAGGACCACCCGCAAGUCGUGCUAGGAGUUUUUCGGGUUUGGCUGAUCGAACUGGAAAAGAAUUUAAUGAGUUUAGAGAAUUUCAUGCGUGUUGAGAUUAUGUCUAAGUAGCUGUUUGAAUUUCAAAUUUAAGUUGUAAGUUUGACCCUUUUUAAAUUAAGGUUGAAUAAGUCCUUUUAAUGUGAAUCCAGCUGACACCCCAGAGCACAAAUGGAUCACCCUUUUUAGCUUGCCUCACUUAGUGGGAUAAGAAGACUUUUGUGGUUGUUCUU